CCUACGGGUAGCAGCAGUGGGGAAUAUUGCACAAUGGGGGAAACCCUGAUGCAGCGACGCCGCGUGAGUGAAGAAGUAUUUCGGUACGUAAAGCUCUAUCAGCAGGGAAGAAAAUGACGGUGCCUGACUAAGAAGCCCCGGCUAACUACGUGCCAGCAGCCGCGGUAAUACGUAGGGGGCAAGCGUUAUCCGGAUUUACUGGGGGUAAAGGGAGCGUAGACGGCAGCGCAAGUCUGGAGUGAAAUCCCAUGGCUUAACCAGGGAACUGCUUUGGAAACUGGGCAGCUAGAGUGCAGGAGAGGUAAGCGGAAUUCCUAGUGUAGCGGUGAAAUGCGUAGAUAUUAGGAGGAACACCAGUGGCGAAGGCGGCUUACUGGACUGUAACUGACGUUGAGGCUCGAAAGCGUGGGGAGCAAACAGGAUUAGAUACCCUUGUAGUC
This 440-nucleotide ribosomal RNA is filed under the name uncultured bacterium. RNAcentral's name for it is "partial 16S ribosomal RNA". It matches the Rfam family "Bacterial small subunit ribosomal RNA", at positions 338 to 795 of the family's 1533-position model. The record is from RNAcentral.